ACGAACCGAUACCGGAGGCGAUCCAGGAAGGAUCGGGGGAUGACCCGCACUGGCGGGCGGCUGCUCAGAGAGCACAACCGAUACCCCCACAACACCUCAACAGCGACCCGCCCCGGCGCUCAGGUAUCGUUCC
RNAcentral lists this non-coding RNA (133 nucleotides) under unclassified sequences. RNAcentral describes it as "EFASI RNA". It matches the Rfam family "EFASI RNA". The record is from Rfam by way of RNAcentral.